AUCACUAGGGGAGCUUGUAGCUGAGAGGAUAUGUCCGACCCUUGGAACCUGAUCUAGGUCAUACUAGCGUAGGGAAGUGGUAAAGUAA
Molecule: non-coding RNA, 88 nt
Filed under: Massilibacterium senegalense
Lineage: Bacteria; Bacillati; Bacillota; Bacilli; Caryophanales; Bacillaceae
Description: TPP riboswitch (THI element)
Rfam family: TPP riboswitch aptamer (THI element)
About the family: Vitamin B(1) in its active form thiamin pyrophosphate (TPP) is an essential coenzyme that is synthesised by coupling of pyrimidine and thiazole moieties in bacteria. The previously detected thiamin-regulatory element, thi box was extended, resulting in a new, highly conserved RNA secondary structure, the THI element, which is widely distributed in eubacteria and also occurs in some archaea. Analysis of operon structures identified a large number of new candidate thiamin-regulated genes, mostly transporters, in various prokaryotic organisms.
Source: RNAcentral